This 950-nucleotide ribosomal RNA is filed under the name uncultured cyanobacterium. RNAcentral's name for it is "bacterial SSU rRNA". It matches the Rfam family "Bacterial small subunit ribosomal RNA", at positions 8 to 1004 of the family's 1533-position model. Lineage: Bacteria; Bacillati; Cyanobacteriota. The record is from RNAcentral.
AGAGUUUGAUCCUGGCUCAGGAUGAACGCUGGCGGCGUGCUUAACACAUGCAAGUCGAACGAACCUUCGGGUUAGUGGCGGACGGGUGAGUAACGCGUGAGAAUCUGCCCUCAGGAGGGGGAUAACGGCUGGAAACGGCCGCUAAUACCCCAUAUGCCGAGAGGUGAAAUGAAUUUCGCCUGAGGAUGAGCUCGCGUCUGAUUAGCUAGUUGGUAGGGUAAAGGCCUACCAAGGCUUCGAUCAGUAGCUGGUCUGAGAGGAUGAUCAGCCACACUGGGACUGAGACACGGCCCAGACUCCUACGGGAGGCAGCAGUGGGGAAUUUUCCGCAAUGGGCGAAAGCCUGACGGAGCAGCGCCGCGUGAGGGAUGAAGGCCUCUGGGCUGUAAACCUCUUUUAUCAAGGAAGAAGAUCUGACGGUACUUGAUGAAUAAGCCACGGCUAAUUCCGUGCCAGCAGCCGCGGUAAUACGGGAGUGGCAAGCGUUAUCCGGAAUUAUUGGGCGUAAAGCGUCCGCAGGCGGUCUUACAAGUCUGUCGUUAAAGCGUGGAGCUUAACUCCAUUUCGGCGAUGGAAACUGUAAGACUAGAGUGUGGUAGGGGCAGAGGGAAUUCCCGGUGUAGCGGUGAAAUGCGUAGAUAUCGGGAAGAACACCAGUGGCGAAGGCGCUCUGCUGGGCCAUAACUGACGCUCAUGGACGAAAGCCAGGGGAGCGAAAGGGAUUAGAUACCCCUGUAGUCCUGGCCGUAAACGAUGAACACUAGGUGUCGGGGGAAUCGACCCCCUCGGUGUCGUAGCCAACGCGUUAAGUGUUCCGCCUGGGGAGUACGCACGCAAGUGUGAAACUCAAAGGAAUUGACGGGGGCCCGCACAAGCGGUGGAGUAUGUGGUUUAAUUCGAUGCAACGCGAAGAACCUUACCAGGGUUUGACAUCCUGCGAAUCCCUUGGA